This 728-nucleotide long non-coding RNA is filed under the name Chrysemys picta bellii (western painted turtle). RNAcentral's name for it is "lncRNA (ENSCPBG00000028051.1)". Lineage: Eukaryota; Metazoa; Chordata; Testudines; Emydidae. The record is from RNAcentral.
UCCCUCUCAUAGUUUCAUAGAUUUUAAGAUGAAAAGGGAACCAUUAUGAUCAUCUAGUCUGACCUCCUGAAUGGCACAGACCAUUGAACCUCACACAGUGACUCCUGCAUCAAGCCCAUGACUGCUGUUUGAGCUAUAGUGUAUCUCUUUGAAACACAUCCAGUCUAGAUGUAAAGAGUUCAAGUGAUCCUCUUCUCCUUAACUUUGUCCUCAUGGGUUUCUGCUUCCAAACUACCUAACUGGGUGGGAAGUGGAGUCAGUCUAUAUGUAUAUGCUAGGCCUUUCACCAAUAUUGUGUUUUUUGCUUCCAGUAGAUGAUGCUAUAAUAACUAGCUAUUCUGAUAACUGCAACAAGACUGGAGAACAGGAAUUACUCUGUCAACAAAUGGAGGCACUGAUGGCGGUUCCAUCCUCCCUUCCAGUGACAUGCUCAGUAAACAUGACUUAAAGACGACAGGAUCUCAGUGGAGGACUGACUUUCCUAUCCAUUUGCCAGGGGUUGGAAACAGCUACUGUGUGUCCACAUUCCAUCUCAACACUUCUCUGAAGCUACUAUUUUGUUCUGCAGAAUCUCAGGUUUCAUUGUUUUAAAUCUCUAAGUUUUAUGAUUGUGAAGGAAGUCUCAAAAAUAUGAACUGAUCAUAACUGAUGCAGAAAUGAAUCUGUAGAGAGCCUAGAACAAUACUUCUAAGAAAUGUGAAUUGUCCCACUCAGCUCAAUGAGGUGUU